ACCCUAAUUCGAACUCUCUCUCUUCUCUUCUCUGGCGAACACGGCAACGAAACAAGAGCGAAUACAUUUGAUCAAGAAUCAACGGAUUUGAAGACAAAUCAUCUAUGGUACUCUCUAAUUUCAGUAUUUCAUGAUCGAUUAUAGAUAGGGCUUUUUUGCAGGAAAUCAAAUCUUUGAGAUCAAAUCGGCGAUUUAGUGAAGAGGUCGAAUUAGCAAAAAUAUUCACUCCCCGCUGGUUAAAUAAAGAUUUUUUUAACAGGUGAUGAUAAAACUGAAUAUGUAUUGAAUAUUUAAAGAAAUCUGUCAUGUGUAUUUUUGUUUUGAGUUGUUGUGUUCUCAUUUUAUUAUUAUUUUAAUUGUUGAACACUUAUGGAUCGUGGUUUUUUCAUUUAUGUUUUGGACUCAUUUAAGACUGGCCAGGUUGGAGUGAAUACACAAACGUGAAUAUGUUGAUGAGCCCUUUCUGGGAAUUAGCCCUUGAAGAUGUCAAUUGAGGUAUCACACAAUAUUAUGCUUUUGCGGAAGAAAGGCUGCUUUUUUUCUUCUUAUGCUUAUGUUCCUACGACUGAGGUUUGUAUCCCGGUACCGAAUUUCGCUGCCGUGGAAGACGAAAGGUUGCAUGGCAGCUGAUUAGCAAAGGUUUUUUCUUUUUAACUAUUGUUGAUUUUCCUUACAUUGGUUCAUAUUCGGAUUUUUUUUUCGUAAUUUUGUUGUCUGGGUUUAAUUUUUUGUUCAGUGGUUUUAGUUCAGGGGUGAUUUGGGUUUUCGGCCAGAGAAGACUUUUUACUUGAAAGUUUGGUCAGGUCACUUGGCAACCAAUGAUUUUACAAAAUAUUUUGGAUUUUUUGACCGUCAUGAUGUGAUUUAGUAUGUUGUCAUAAGGCAACUGCUGGUAGUCAGGAUGGUCAUGUGUGAAAAGGCUUAAUCAAGAAGGAUCUUAGGGACACAAGGAGUGGUUGGUUAGUUGUUUUCACUGUCAUCGAUCCAAAGCUAUACAGACUUCAGUUCUCAAGGCAAGGCAAGGCAA
Helianthus annuus (common sunflower) is the source of this 1027-nucleotide long non-coding RNA. RefSeq lists it as uncharacterized. The record is from RefSeq and is a predicted model, not a curated record. The transcript is spliced from 6 exons. Lineage: Eukaryota; Viridiplantae; Streptophyta; Magnoliopsida; Asterales; Asteraceae.